This 301-nucleotide ribosomal RNA is filed under the name uncultured bacterium. RNAcentral describes it as "partial 16S ribosomal RNA". It matches the Rfam family "Bacterial small subunit ribosomal RNA", at positions 509 to 809 of the family's 1533-position model. The record is from RNAcentral.
CAGCCGCCACGGUAAUACGAAGGGGGCUAGCGUUGUUCGGAUUUACUGGGCGUAAAGCGCACGUAGGCGGAUUCUUAAGUCAGAGGUGAAAUCCCAAGGCUCAACCUUGGAACUGCCUUUGAUACUGGGGAUCUCGAGUUCGGGAGAGGUGAGUGGAACUGCGAGUGUAGAGGUGAAAUUCGUAGAUAUUCGCAAGAACACCAGUGGCGAAGGCGGCUCACUGGCCCGAUACUGACGCUGAGGUGCGAAAGCGUGGGGAGCAAACAGGAUUAGAUACCCCCGUAGUCCCUGUCUCUUAUAA